Schistosoma mattheei is the source of this 78-nucleotide non-coding RNA. NCBI's taxonomy places the organism in Eukaryota, Metazoa, Platyhelminthes, Trematoda, Strigeidida, Schistosomatidae. The record is from Rfam.
AGCCAUCUGUAUCUGUGCUGAGAUUUCGUCACACACCAGGCCAAAAGGGCUGAUGAGACUUCCAAGAUAAGCGAAGCG